GACGAACGCUGGCGGCGUGCUUAACACAUGCAAGUCACGGGGGUCUCGCAAGAGAGAACCGGCGAACGGGUGCGUAACACGUGAACAACCUGCCGUUGUGAGGGGGAUAGCCGGGCUAACGCCCGGGUAAUACCGCAUACGCUGCCCGAGGGGAGUCCCUUGGGGAGGAAAGCCAUGGCGCAAGCGAUGGCGCACGACGAGGGGUUCGCGGCCUAUCAGCUAGUUGGGGGGGUCACGGCCNCCCAAGGCGACGACGGGUAGCUGGUCUGAGAGGAUGGCCAGCCACAUUGGGACUGAGAGACGGCCCAGACUCCUACGGGAGGCAGCAGUGGGGAAUAUUGCGCAAUGGCCGCAAGGCUGACGCAGCGACGCCGCGUGUGGGAUGACG
RNAcentral lists this ribosomal RNA (388 nucleotides) under uncultured bacterium. RNAcentral's name for it is "bacterial SSU rRNA". It matches the Rfam family "Bacterial small subunit ribosomal RNA", at positions 28 to 413 of the family's 1533-position model. The record is from RNAcentral.